This 253-nucleotide ribosomal RNA is filed under the name uncultured bacterium. RNAcentral's name for it is "partial 16S ribosomal RNA". It matches the Rfam family "Bacterial small subunit ribosomal RNA", at positions 524 to 776 of the family's 1533-position model. The record is from RNAcentral.
UACGAACCGUCCGAACGUUACUCGGAAUCACUGGGCUUAAAGGGUGCGUAGGCCGCGCGGAGGGUGGGAUGUGAAAUCCCCCGGCUCAACCGGGGAAUAGCGUCCCAAACCGCCGUGCUCGAGGGAGACAGAGGUGAGCGGAACUGAUGGUGGAGCGGUGAAAUGCGUUGAUAUCAUCAGGAACACCAGUGGCGAAAGCGGCUCACUGGGUCUUUCCUAACGCUGAGGCACGAAAGCUAGGGGAGCGAACGGG